AAUAAGAUGGCUGAAGGUUAGGCGGUAGAUUGUAAAUUUAUUAAUAAGUUAUGAGAUUAACUUUCUUAUUA
This 71-nucleotide transfer RNA is filed under the name Metacarcinus magister (Dungeness crab). RNAcentral describes it as "tRNA-Leu". It matches the Rfam family "tRNA". From Rfam's summary of the family: Transfer RNA (tRNA) molecules are approximately 80 nucleotides in length. Their secondary structure includes four short double-helical elements and three loops (D, anti-codon, and T loops). Further hydrogen bonds mediate the characteristic L-shaped molecular structure. tRNAs have two regions of fundamental functional importance: the anti-codon, which is responsible for specific mRNA codon recognition, and the 3' end, to which the tRNAs corresponding amino acid is attached (by aminoacyl-tRNA synthetases). tRNAs cope with the degeneracy of the genetic code in two manners: having more than one tRNA (with a specific anti-codon) for a particular amino acid; and 'wobble' base-pairing, i.e. permitting non-standard base-pairing at the 3rd anti-codon position. The record is from RNAcentral. Lineage: Eukaryota; Metazoa; Arthropoda; Malacostraca; Decapoda; Cancridae.